UACGGGGGGGGUAAGCGUUGUUCGGAAUUACUGGGCGUAAAGGGCUCGUAGGCGGCCAACUAAGUCAGACGUGAAAUCCCUCAGCUUAACUGGGGAACUGCGUCUGAUACUGGAUGGCUUGGAUUCGGGAGAGGAAUGCGGAAUUCCAGGUGUAGCGGUGAAAUGCGUAGAUAUGUGGAGGAACACCGAUGGCGAAGGCAGCCCCCUGGGUUAACACUGACGCUCAUGCACGAAAGCGUGGGGAGCAAACAGG
This 253-nucleotide ribosomal RNA is filed under the name uncultured bacterium. RNAcentral's name for it is "partial 16S ribosomal RNA". It matches the Rfam family "Bacterial small subunit ribosomal RNA", at positions 524 to 776 of the family's 1533-position model. The record is from RNAcentral.